UGUGUGUGAGGGAGACAGAGAGCGGGGUGGGCAGAGAGACAGAGAACACUGGGGAGGAGGAGGAGGAGUCCAGAAGGAGCUGGAACGGCCUUUCUGGGUGAGAACACAGCAUGUGCCAGCCUGGCCCUGUGGACCACAAGGCUCACGGUGGCCACCUUCAUGGGCCUUCCCUGGACUCGCCUGGUGGGUCCUGAGGGCUUGUGUGCCCCCCCUCACUCUGACCCAGGACGGCCCUAGGGAUCCUUUGGCCUCAGACCUGUUCAGGCAGGACCCAGCAGAAACCCCUCCCCCGUCUCCGCCCACAGGCCUCUUUGCCCUUUACAAAGUUUAAGGGUCACUCUGGAGUUUUUCCUUAGGGGCUCAGAAAGUCAGCCACACUCGGCGAUCAGGGUCAGGCUUCAUGGGGUCAGACAGGCACGGGGCAUGCUAGGGAGUGUCUAGCAGCCACUCUUGGGGUGUGAGGAGUCCUGGUCUGCUCCCCCAACAGCAGGCUUCCAGCUUCUAACGCAAACUUGCUGGCUGCAGAGUUGGUGUGAGAUGUUCGCCUUGGAAGGCAGACGCACCCUCAGGACGUCAGGAAGUCUUGGUCAGGGGGAUUGUGUUGGGGGAGAGACCACCUUAGCUGAAGGGGGUUUCCAGUGUGUGGUUCUGAUCUGGGCUGCUGCACAGGCUCAAGGCUCACAGGACGUCCUUCCUCCAGGGUCAUAUGGGCCCCUGCACUGCAAAUCGAUGGCACCCAUGGGCAGCAGGGCCUCCCUAGACAGCCCAUCACACAAAAGACCACCUGUGGCUGGCCCCUCACCUGGAGCCCCAGAAACAAGCACACGUAUACUGUUAGAAACAUCCAAGGGGAGGCCGCGUAACUGGAGGACCAGGAGGAGCAUUGCGGCAU
This 892-nucleotide long non-coding RNA is filed under the name Homo sapiens (human). RNAcentral describes it as "HSALNT0274292". The record is from RNAcentral. Lineage: Eukaryota; Metazoa; Chordata; Mammalia; Primates; Hominidae.